RNAcentral lists this non-coding RNA (166 nucleotides) under chicken gut metagenome. The record is from RNAcentral.
CUCCGGUUUCUUUCGGAGGAGGAUUAAAAGGGAAUCCUGUGUAAAUCAGGAACUAUCCCCGUAGCUGUAAGUUUCGGAUAUGGUUGUACCUCUUUAUGCCACUGUUGUUGGAAUCGACGGGAAGGCGUACGGCCGGGAACGAGUCAGAAGACCUGCCGGAUAGAAA